Molecule: non-coding RNA, 2671 nt
Organism: Bactrocera oleae (olive fruit fly)
Lineage: Eukaryota; Metazoa; Arthropoda; Insecta; Diptera; Tephritidae
Source: RefSeq, a predicted model, not a curated record
CAAUCACAAAUACUGUCUCAAAUUUUCACCAGGGCAUAAACCUAAUAACAGUAAGAAAUCUUGUUUUCCAUUUUUAAUAUACUGACGCUUCACUUAUAGAGAUCAUCAUAGAUAUUAAUCGAUUUCCGUUUUUGGAAGUAACUCAAACACGUAAAAAAUAACAAACAAAGAUAAAGAAGACGAGAAAGACGCAGAGAAGUUCUAACCAAAAACCAAGUAAUUUAAACAAAUCAGCAAUUCACCCUUAACAACACUUUUUGCGUUUCAACAGAUAAAACACGAUUUCGUUCGCUAAAAGUUCGGAUUCGUAUAUACUGGGAUUGGGAAAUUAGGAAAAGCUUUCUGAACAUGAAAUUGUGUAUAUUGCAUAUGUGGAAAAUUGUUGCUAUUGGCAAACUAACCAUCAACAUUACACUGUAAUAGUGGCCAGUUCAAAAAAAGGACUCUAAAUUUAAAGACGAUACAAGCAUUUUGAUUGGUUACACGAACGUUUGGUGGAGAAAUUUAGCCUCAUUCCCAUACCACCGUUGCCAAAUAAGAUAUUUUCUGGACGUUUCGAAGAUCAAUUUGUGGAGCAUCCGGUACUGUCACAAUGCAAAGAGUGGCAUCAUUUCUUGACCUGCAACGAUGACAAGAUGUGGAAAUCAGGCAAAACGAAACGUGGCACAUUUGUGGGAGUCUCUCAUUGUUGCGCCAUAUCACCGCCUGAAAACACACUGUUGCCAUCUCUUGUAGAUGCUCACAUGGAAAGAUGUUCACAGUUCACGCAUGCAAUGGAUAUUUCGGUGAAGGCACGUCGGAUCUGGUCUUAAAAUAGACGAGACGACAAAAACAACACCGCUAUCAGAAUGUGUUAACCAACUUAAAUUGUACCAUUUUCGGACUGUUUGCUGCAUAUAUACAGGUAAUAAGACACGAAAGUUUGUCUCUGUUUAGUUACAUAUGCAUAAGAAAUAAAUGAAGGACCUUGUGCCUAGCUUGGAGAUACUACAAAUGCCGAUAUAUCAGUAUCUUCUGACUGAUAUUAAAGUACUUAAUCCAUUAUUAUCGUGUUGCAUUUAAAAUCGUAUUUAGUGUCACAUGCAUUUACUACUUCUAACUCACUUAUUAAACUUGUUCAUUACUUAAAAAUAUAUAUGUAUGUAUAUACAUACGUAUGUAUAUAUUUGAAUAUGUAUACUUAUGCCAACAGAAAGAACAUUCUUUGGCAUUUAUUUUUUGAAAAUUAUCUCUUUAAAAUUUUGGCCGCGGCUCCGUCUCAGAGGGUCCAUCCGUUGUGUCCAAUUUUCGAUGUCUCGUUCGUUUCGACGGGUAACUGGUGAAUGACACGCGUGAUGUUUUGUUUCAUUUUUAAAGAAAUUUGGACCGAUGAUUCCACCAGACCACAAACCACGCCAAACCGUUGUUUUUUCUAGAUGAAAUGGCAGCUCUUGAAUCCCUUUAUGUUGCUAUUCGUCCCAAAUACGGCAAUUUUGAAUGUUUACAUACCUAUUGAGCCAGAAAUGGGUCUUGGAGUUUUUCAAGAGCCCAUAGAGCGAAGCGAUGUGACUUGAGAAGGUUUAGAGUUCUUUCACAAGCUGUAUUUGUACGCUUUUAAUUUAGGAUAGCGACGUAAAAUGCGCCAAGCCCUUCCAUACCUCAGACCAAGUUGCUGCGAACGGCGCCGACUAGACUCUCCACGGUCUUCAUAUACACUCUCAACUACAGCUGCUGGCUCUCACGAUGUGUGGAGGUGUUGCGAAUAGUACGCUCAGUAGGCCGAUUAUGUUGACCAUAAGUUGAACAAAGCGCGCGAAACAUUCUUUACAGAACGUGAAUUUUGGUAAUAAAACUGAGCAAUUUGUAAACGUUGAUCAGACGUAAAUCUUUCCAUGAUGGAAUGCCAACAAUAACAUGACGAUUCACGCGUGAUCUGUCAAAGAGAGGCGUCUUUAACAGUUUUUCUAACAUUCACUCAACACACCAGGGUGCAAUGCAAGCACGCAAAGAGUGUAAUGCCCGAAUGAAUGUGUGAAUCGUCGCACCGAUGUUAUUUUCUGUGGUGUAACUUCCUAUAUUAAAGAAGAACAUGAUACACAUACUUAUGAAACAGACUGUAGGGUGCGCUCGAGCGACGUAAUAUGUACUUGUAAUUACAGCAGUACUGCUACUGUGUUGCACAUUUGCUGAUACUCUGCUGAUGUAAGGAAAAAAAUUUAGUGUUACCGAUUAUUUGCAUAAAUUACAAGUGUUGUAAGAAUUUCACACAGAACGUGAUACUUUGACAAAUUUGCAACACUGCUGUCGUGAUUGCCAUCUCGAACGCACCCGUAAUGUACUUAUAAGUAUGGCAUUGUGCAUUAUCGUGAUGAAUAGACCAAAUCAUAUUUUUUAUGCAUAUAGAUUUAUAGUUGUAUUAUAAGAAUUGUUUAUAAGAUAAUAUUGUUAGAAGUACUUUACUUGUUUAGGUAUAAAUUUUAAGUGUUAUUAUUAAUAUUUAAUGUAUUUAAUGUAAUAUGUAUAUAUAAAUAUAGUAUAUUUUGGAUUAUUAUAUACUUUUACUUCUACUAUUAUAUUAUAUAAACAUAUAUGUAUUUAUAUGUCUUUAUAAAUUAAAUAUAUUAAUUAAUUUUAAUCAUUAGUUUAAGUAUACACGUUUUUUCAAUAAAAUAAAGCAAAAUAAUAUAAAAAA